Molecule: unclassified non-coding RNA, 443 nt
Filed under: Hevea brasiliensis (rubber tree)
Lineage: Eukaryota; Viridiplantae; Streptophyta; Magnoliopsida; Malpighiales; Euphorbiaceae
Source: RNAcentral
AUCAAAACCAACUAAUCUUUCAUCAGUUGUGCCUCGAAACCACCCUCAGGCCUUUUUACAAGUCUGUAUGGCCUGUAUGUUCCAAGAAGUUUGUCCCAAAUGGAAAAGAAUGGCUGAGAAUAAUUGAACUUUGUGCCUUGAAGCUGAUGGUGAAUGUCAUGGUAAGCAGUGUUAUUAUGGAAAAACAAAUGGAAGACAUUACCAGGCAGCCAAAGUCCACAAUGAUCAUCAACUGUUUUGACCACAGCAAAACAGAAAAAGAUUACAGCAGUACGUGCAGUCAUUCCAGCAACAAGAAACGAAAGAGCACCACCGAAAGUAUCCAGGAGGAGACCUUCAAGUGGGUGGUUAUAAAGGGCACCAAUUGCGUAAGGCACGACCAACCGAUGAUGCUGGGAGUGAACAUGGCGGUAUAAGAACUUGUUCUGAUGCAUGUAGCGAUG